This 106-nucleotide non-coding RNA is filed under the name Bacteroides sp. RNAcentral describes it as "SAM-I sequence". It matches the Rfam family "SAM riboswitch aptamer (S box leader)". Rfam says of the family: The SAM riboswitch is found upstream of a number of genes which code for proteins involved in methionine or cysteine biosynthesis in Gram-positive bacteria. The record is from RNAcentral. Lineage: Bacteria; Pseudomonadati; Bacteroidota; Bacteroidia; Bacteroidales; Bacteroidaceae.
GAGUUAUAGAGAAGGGGGGAGAGACCAGGCUCUGAGAACCUCUAGCAACCAGCCCUGCCCGGGGGCAAAGGUGCUAAUACCUGGCCCGUUAAGGGGAUUAUAAUUU